UACAGAGGUCCCAAGCGUUGUUCGGAUUCACUGGGCGUAAAGGGUGCGUAGGUGGUCAGGGAAGUCCGAUGUGAAAUCUCCAGGCUCAACCUGGAAAUGGCAUUGGAUACUAUUUGGCUUGAGGAGUGGAGGGGGGACUGGAAUUCUCGGUGUAGCAGUGAAAUGCGUAGAUAUCGAGAGGAACACCAGUGGCGAAGGCGAGUCCCUGGACAGUUCCUGACACUGAGGCACGAAAGCUAGGGGAGCAAACAGG
RNAcentral lists this ribosomal RNA (253 nucleotides) under uncultured bacterium. Its description in RNAcentral is "partial 16S ribosomal RNA". It matches the Rfam family "Bacterial small subunit ribosomal RNA", at positions 524 to 776 of the family's 1533-position model. The record is from RNAcentral.